This is a non-coding RNA of Acanthosepion pharaonis, 114 nucleotides long. The record is from the annotation of a GenBank genome assembly. NCBI's taxonomy places the organism in Eukaryota, Metazoa, Mollusca, Cephalopoda, Sepiida, Sepiidae.
UUACGGCCACAUCCCGUUGAAACAUCUGUUCCCGUACGAUCACCAAAGAUAAGCAACGUCGAGCCUGGUCAGUACUUAGACGGGUGACCGCUUUGAAAUAUCACGUGCUGUAAG